CUAAGAUAUUAUUUUGAAUAUGCUUUGCAUGAAACCAUUUGUUAUUACCAUCAAAGAAUAAUAAAAAUGACACUGCCAUUCUGAGCAAACAAAACUUUGAAAGCAUAGCAAUUAGUAAAAAUUAGGUCAUCUCUAGCAGAAUCCCAAAAACAUACCUGAAAACGAUUUUAUUAAAAAGAGGGAGAAAGAAAGAGAGAGAAAGGGGUGGGGAAAAGUAAUUUUAAAAGAUUACACAAAAAAGCAUGCUUGUGUCUUUUAUUCAGAGAAAUGAAAAUUUUAAGUGAAUGCUUCUGAAAACUGUCACUACAACGUUAUAUAUGUAAUUAUUUAACACACACUCUCAUUAACUGAUCACCCAGGCAGUCAAUCAAGAUUUCUCUAACAUAUUCUCCGAGCGUCUAAAGUCAAUUCCCAACAUUUCCACAAAUAGCAAAAGCAGUCUUUUAUAUCCUGGACCAUUUUCUAUUAUCAAAGUACUACCAGCAGGAGAAAAAAUUCUUCAUUUGUCCUAUAACAACUACAUAAAGAAAUUAAAUUAGUGAAAAGUUUUAAUUUUUUGCUCCCUCUCGGCGUAAAUAUUAAGAGGAUAUCUACUUUGUAAAUUUGGGCUUAGGGCAUUUGGUACCUCUAUAAACCUUAAGCAUUCACUGAAGAAUGAAAUUGUAUUGCUAUUCUACUCGAAUUUCUGCUUACAUUUUCAUUUUAUGUUUUUAUAAAUUUAUGCAUGUAGUUUGAAUAAAACAAUACUCAGUGUCCAAAACUCGAAAUGCUAGCAUUUAUCUGGAAAGUGAAGUCUUAAGAGCAAACUCAGAUCACUUUUUCUGUAUUUACACAAUGCCAUUAAUAUCUAAUUGAAAACUGAACCUCUAACUGCCACAAGUAAGUGGUUGUUUAAACAAAUAAAAUAUUUCAAAGUAAAUUAAAUAACUGAUGUAUUUCUUUUUAAGGUAAUCCUUUCUGGUAUAACAUGAAGUCAGCCUCGGACAUAAAUUACAUUUGUUAAAGUACAGACUCAUUUACGGACUUGCUCUGUUCUUCCAGGCCAGUUGGGUCCAGCAGCUUUGCCUCUCUACCCUUUCAUCACCAAAGUAUACUACUGAGAAAGAAUCAAAUGAAAAGAAAAAAGACUCAACAAGACUUCACUCGUAUUAACUGGACUCUACAAGCAGUGAGCAUCCAGACCUGCAUUCGGUUACAAAAGAAGCCUUCAAGCUAUUUUCAUCAGCUUCCUAAUCAAGUUAAAGAAUAAACCACAAAACUGAGUGUCCACUACCCUCUCUCUAUAUAUUCUAUAUAUAUAUGUAUAUAUUUGUAUUAAUAAAAUAUAUAUACAAGUAAAUUUAAAUUAUAUAUUACAAAAAAGAAUAAUUUUUAAAGAAUGAGCUAGAGAUGAAAUAAACUAUAUUAAAUGUCUUGCUAUUCACAAUAUCUUCAUACUAUUAUUAAACUAAUUUCCUUUUUUUUUUUUUUUUUUUUUUUCUUAAAGACAGUGUCUCCCUGUGUUGCCCAGGCUGCUUGCGAACUCCUGGGCUCAAGGGAUCCUCCUGUCUCAGCCUCCCAAAGUGCUAGGAUUAUAGGUGUGAGCCACCAUGCCUGGCCAUAAUUUCUCAAAGUACAAUAUAUCAUAAGGUAAAGGUUUGACAUUAAUGACAGUGAAUAUAGAUUCAUACUUCCUAUCAUCUUCAUGUUAAUUUUUAAACAUUUUGUCCAACUUAUCAGGUCUUAUUAGUCUGUGUUUUUAUUAGAUAGCCAACAAUUUUAUCCUGUAAUGUGAUUGAUGGGCACAAAGUAGGAAAAUGUGUGCAUCUGCCCCUUUCUUGUGUUUACAUCAUCGUCACUAUCUUGCAGAAUUUAAAACCUUUUAAAACAUGUGUCCAUUUGGCUAAACAUGUUAUAUGGAAGGAAUAAAUCCAUUUAACUAAGCAGAUAUAGAAUGCAAAAUGCUCAAAGUAAACAGUGAGGACACCACAGGUGAAACUGAUUUAGGAGACUGUGUGUAACUCAUGGCACACAAUCAUCAAAUCUACAGACCUCUGGCAGCAGGUGUUAAAUAUUUGACAAAGGUUUUUUUUCUCCUCCAAAAUAAAAAGGUAUAGUGUUCUAAACUCUCUUCCCAUACUGCCAGUACAUUAUUUUGGAGACCACUGCACUAAAAACUAGGUCCCUAGCACAUAGCUUCUCAAAAAAUGUUAUUUAUUGAGUAAAAGGUGUUUUUUUUUUUAAUGUUGUUCACAAUAUGUUUGAGGACCUUCAUGUAAACCACGAUCUGUCCCAAGUAAACAUUUUGAAGACAAAAACUGAGGGAGAAAAGGACUACUUAUUAUAAUAUCAAGUUUUCUUCAUAAGGGUCAUUACCUUCACUUUGUACCUUUAACACAUUUAUUCCUAGGUGUAACCAAUAGUUUUGUCAUUCUGUUGAAUAUUUUUGCUUGGUCAUUUCCAUUUUCAACUGAUGACUACUAAUAAAGAGAAAGCUAUUAGUUUGUGUACAUUUCUCACACAUGAGCUUUCCAAAGUGUCUUACAUUUAAUCCUCAUUGCUGUUUUCUACUAGAGUGCCCCUGGGCUUUCCAGCUAUUCUAUUGUAUCAUUUCAAAGUAGAAAUAAUUUUUUGUUUCCAAUAUUUAUGCCAAUUAUUUGACUUUCUGUCUACUGUCUUACUGCAAUGGCUAGAACUACCAAAACAAUGCUUAAUAAUAGUGACAAUCAUGUAAAUGAUGACAGGAAGUAUUAGUCUGGUUUCUGAUAUAAUGGAAAUGGCUUUAGCAUUUCAUCAUUUAGUAUAUGAUGUUUGCUUUCUGGUUUUUGGCAAACUAUAAGAGCUUAAGUUUCUGUUUAUUUCAAUGUUAUUAGUUUUUUAAAACGAGAAAUGGCUAUUUAUAAAUGUACAUUUUGCUUCCAAUGGGACAAUAAUCUGAGGUUUCCUUUAAUAAUGAAUAUAUUCAUAGAACUCAGGUGAAAUUAACUCUACUUGGUAAUUAUAUAAUUUUUCUUUUUGAUAGCUUACUGGGUUAGAUGUGCUUUAAGUUAUAGUUAUUUGCAACUACAGUAUUUUAUUUAGUAAAAUUGGCUUAUUUUCUUUUUGGAGUUUCUGUUAGAUUUCUAUCUUAAGGUUUUGAAAGUUUAUAACAUUAAUAUACUUAAUGUUAAAUUUUAAUAGUUUGAGGCUGCACUGUCCAAUAGUAGCUAGUAGUCACAUGGGGCUAUUUAAAUAUUAAUUAAAAUAAAAAACACUUAAUUCUUCACACUAGCCACAUUCAAUUGCUCAAUUGCUACCAUACUGAAUAACAUAUAUGUCAUACCCAAGACAGAGAAAAAUCUCUACCUCUUUCUCAGCUUUAAAAUACUAAGUUUUUUUCAAUUCCUGUUGUUAGUGCUAUUGAAGUUACUCAAGUCAAGACUUCCACAUAUGUCCUUGAAGAACUAAGAAAAUAUUCCUAAAGCAAACCAUUCUUCACUCAUCUGAAACAAGGAGGAAUAAUCAUACAAAUAAAACAUUUUUUAUGCAAUAGUAAAGAAACAAGUCCUUUAAUUUACUGGCUACAAAGCUAUCUUUAUACAGUAAGCCAUGCAUAACACUCAUACCAAAAAUAAAUAAAUAAAUAAAACCUCUUAUGCAACAAACAUCCCUGAAACAUGACAGAUCCUUCAUUAAGUUUCAAGCUCCUUUUCAUUCACUUCUAAGACAUUUUGAUAUUUAUGGGCAAAUUUGACCUCUGGUUUUAUUAUAAAUGACAGUAAUACUGAAAAAAAAAAAAAAAGCAAGCUGAUAUUCUAGUGACUUUAUUUCAAACUGAGAAAGGUUAAAAUCUAAAAGAAUUUGUUUAGGAAGCAAGAAUAUUUUUAAAUUCUCUUACUAAACUCUGAUGUAUUGCCAUCAAAUAAGCCAAUUAUGGAAAAUUAGAAGAAUACCCGCAGAGCAAACCCAUAUCCUUUGUUAAAAGCAGACAAAGUACCAGCAUAUCUUAAGGAAGAGCCUUUUAUGUUUUCAGAUUAUCUCUAUUAGAAAGUUUCUUCUUAAACUUCAAAAUAUUGUUUUUAAAUAAACAAAACUCUCCCUGUUGUUUAAUUUUUUACAUUGAAAAUUUGCGUCCAAAUCAUUUAUAAGAACAGUCAACAAAAUAUUUUCCUUCUUUAAAAUUUUUAAUCACAACUGCUGUAGGAAAUGAUUCAUUAUCUAUUUAAACUCACAAAUAAAGCUUUAUGUUCAUUUUAAUUAAAAUUGCCAUUUAUUACAAGUGUUUAAAAUCUGAAAUUCAAGCCUCUUUUCUAGACAACUGAUUCACAUUUCACAAUAUUUCUUCAUUUGAAAGGAUGCUUUAAAACAUUACCUGCCCUGAAGGAAUAUACUUUUAAUAUUCCUUUCAUAAUUCUUCAUUCUCAAAAAUUCAGCUAUUAUUGAUAAGGAUAUCAAAGUUGACAAGACUAUGUCAGAUGUCAAAAAUUAUUGGUUCAGUAUUUUAAAUCUAUUAACUACAAAGGUCUACCUCCAUGAAAAAACCAAAGUUCCUAAUUUUAAUCUUUGUUUCUUCUCAAUCACAAUAAUGUACACCACAUACAAUUCCAUUUGUAUUGGUUAAGGGAGGGAAAUUGGGUUGGGAGCAAAUGAAAUAUUACCUAACAAACAGUAAACGAAACACUAGCUCUUGUGUGAAAUCUUGGGAAGAUUUUUAUUUUCAUCGAAAUCUUAAUUUACCUUUCAUUUUCAAGUUAAUCUGCUUAUCUCCUUAAGAAGUGCGUUUGUGUCAAAUCAGAAUCAUUCCUUUUCGCACUGCUUUCUCUCUUAAUGAACAGUAACCUGAUUUCUAUUGUUCUGCCUGGUUAACGCAUGCUUCCUCUCUGGGCCCCUGUUUACCUCAAGGUGGAGGGGCACUGCUCUACAAGGGUGUCCAUCUUGGGAGGGAAAUGAAGUAGUUCACCUAUAUCAUGAUUUAAGUUGUCUGCAGGAAAAAUGUUAUGUGGCUCUUUAGUCCUUCAAGAUGAUCAGGGGACACAGUAUUAUAGAUUUGAUGUAACCUUCCCCGUUUCUGAAAGACAGUUAACAAAAUUCAGUCUUUCAAAUGUAUGUCGCCUACUCUGCACCAGACACUACAUACUAGGGAAGAAUACAAAGAUCUGAGAUAUGGUAUCUGCAGUCUCCAAGGACAUUUACAAAUAACUAACAUGCACCAGGAAAUUAUAAGUAUUCCAAGAGCUGUGAGUUCAGGAAAGAUUACAUUCAGCUACAACUGGAGCUGGGGAAAGAGAAGAGUUCAGUGAUAACUUCAUAAAGGAUUGCAAACAUAGGACAGGGCAGGGACUAUUGGCAAGGGGAAAGCAGGGAAAGAAGAACUACAAGCCUCAAGAGUAUGUUAUAACUUCUCUAGGGCACAGAGCAUACUGCAAAAAAGGCUUUGACUUUAGUCAAGAUAUUUAUAAUCAAACAUGUUAAACUUAAUGCACCAAUGUUUUACUUCUGAAAUCAAUCAUUCAGUCUAACCACAAGAAAUUAGUGUACAAGGAAAAUUAAUAAAUUGAAGUAAAAUUACUAACGGGCACUAGGAAACAACACAUGCACACACUCCACACAGAAAUAGGAAAUCUGUUUGUUUCUUCAUCACAGUGAAGUGUGGGAGGAAUGUUAAUUUAAACUACAUCUUCAUCAAUUUACAACUAUCACAGAUUCCUUUUAGGCCAUCAGUGUAAUGCUACAGGGUGAUUCCCUAGCAUUUUAUUCUAAAACCCACAAGUGAGCCGAUAAUGUGACCAGCUGCAGCUCCCUUCCUGAAUUCAGCAGCUCUGGGUGUCCACACACUUGCAGCUCUGUACAACUUCACACAAAAGCCUGGCAAUCAGCCAAGAAGACUCCAUCAUAGUGUAUACUCCCCAAGGUUCAAGAUUUUCCAUUUAAUUCCAAUUCCACCAUGAAACGACAUAUACUUUAGCAGACUAUAGUGAAAUAAAACCAAUUCAAUUCCUAUUUCUAGUUAAUAAAAUAUGCCCAUAAAUUGUAAUGUAUAAAGAUAUUAAAAUAUAUAAUCUACAUUUUUAAAGGGCCUUGAAUAUAAUUCCACUCCAUUAAGAUAAUUCUUAAAAUUUUCUUUAAGAGUUAGUUUCCUCAGAAUCUUACCAACAGCAAGAAAACAAUGGCAAACUUGUUAUAGCACAAAGCGAUUUAAUUGUAUUUCCAAAGUCCUCCAUUAAGCAAUUCACUCACAUUGCUAACUGAAAAUCAAGAAUCAAUGUUCUCAGUAUCUGGUACUAUAGGAUGAUGUGACCCAUGACAAUGUGAGACAGAUAUUUCAAGAAUUACAUUAAUUUCUGUUGUCUAAAGCAGAAAUACAAACACACAGAAACACACACUUCUGCAAAUUACGUAGCUGCAUCACUCUAGUAUGUAAGUUUCCUGAGGGAAAGGGGGGAAAAAAAAACCUGAGGGAAAGGGGAAUGCAAACGCUUUAACUGCCUGGCUAACACUUAACUUUGGUAGGAGUGUUUCACAACAGCAAAUAACAAUAAACUGAGCACUAACCUUUGUGUGAAAAUCUUGGGAAGAUUUUCAUUUUUACUGAAAUCUUCACCUACCUCUAGCUUCUCUCUCUCCAGGUCUGGAAACCUUCCACACAAAGGAUCACUAAAAACAGUAGUGAUCUGAAUGCAUAACCCUUAAGAUGUCUAUUCAAUAGCCAAAAUUUAACGGUGUUGAACCUGUAAAAAUGUAAAAGACCCUUUGGGAGGCCGAGGCAGGCGGGUCACGAGGUCAAGAGAUCGAGACCAUCCUGGCUAACACGGUGAAACCCUGUCUCUACUAAAAAUACAAAAAAAUUAGCCGGGAGUGGUGGCGGGCGCCUGUAGUCCCAGCUACUCAGGAGGCUGAGGCAGGAGAAUGGCUUGAACCUGGGAGGCGGAGCUUGCAGUGAGCCGAGAUCGGCCACUGCACUCCAGUCUGGGCGACAGAGCAAGACUCUGUUUCAAAAAAAAAAAGUAAAAGACCUGGCAAACCACUGACCCUUUCUUCUUCCUUUUGAUGGGCACCUUCCUAUGAUACAAUUAUCGACUAAGGACAAUGUGGAAAGGAUUCUCACACCAUUUCAGUAGAAAGUAAAUUAAAAUUGUUAUCUGGACUUCUCUAAAUCCCCAUUAAUGCCUUCAUGUAACAUUCAAGGGCUGUCUGGCAAUAAAAAAUAUCUCCAAAGUCAUCUUUUAAAUGGCUUAUAUCCCCCGCUUUAACGUCAACAACGUUUUGAAUCAAGGGAAAGCUGAUUAAAACAAGAAUUGUUCAUCAUAAUUUACUAGUCACAGAAAGAAAUUUGCUUCACACCAAAGUUAAAACUGCAAAAUAUACUUUCUGAGCAUAACCAAAUGGAUAUGGAUCAUUAAGCAUCGCUCACAACCUAAAUAACCUAGUUCUAAGUAGUCACAAAAAUAGAUACCUACUUUGUCAUUUACAUGAAACAGACAUGAAUAUUAUAUUACAAAGAGGGAACAGAACCCGCUGCCAACCUCUUUUUAAAGGAUACUAACAAAAAAAAAAAAAAAAAAAAAAAA
Molecule: long non-coding RNA, 7526 nt
Organism: Pongo pygmaeus (Bornean orangutan)
Lineage: Eukaryota; Metazoa; Chordata; Mammalia; Primates; Hominidae
Exons: 3
Source: RefSeq, a predicted model, not a curated record